This is a long non-coding RNA of Cygnus olor (mute swan), 5590 nucleotides long. RefSeq lists it as uncharacterized. NCBI's taxonomy places the organism in Eukaryota, Metazoa, Chordata, Aves, Anseriformes, Anatidae. The record is from RefSeq and is a predicted model, not a curated record. The transcript has 4 exons.
GGCUGAUCCUUGUGGGAAACCCUUUUGAUGCUGACUUCAGUAGCAUAUGGACCAAGCUUUUAAGAGGUGUGGCCCCUGAUGUGAGGCACGGUGAUUUUUGCGUAGCUUUUCCCAGCUUGCCCAUCAUGAGCUGCAGAAAUGAUCCUGCAGUGCUCAGGGCCUAGGAGCGAUGAAUAAGUUACUCACCGACAAAGGUGAGAGCAUCAUGUGGAGGAAAUGGGAGUAAUGACUUGUGCUGGUGGAAAAGCCAUCUGUUGGACAUGCCUACUUUGUGCCAGGACCGCCUGGCCUGGCCUGCCCUUCCCUAGGCUGACUCUUUACAUCUGAUGGGUCUGAAGAGCAGCAGAAUGGAAGUGACUGUUUUAAUAAGCACUAGGAACUUGCUGGAUUUUGUUACACUUCCUUUUGAGCAAGCGCUUCCGCAAGUUGGGAGUGGGCGAAACCCGGUUUCCUACAGCUCUGUGCCUUGUGGUUUGCUUCACUGGUGCCUGCGACAGAGCAGGUGAUGACUGACGUGGCUUCUGUGCUUGAGAGACAUCCUGAAGACUUCAUGUGUGAACCUCCAUGCCCUUUUCCUUGGCCAUGGAUGCAGCUCUCCCUCCUGUUGCCAGCUGCCAGCUUGAGAAACUUCUAGGAAAUUGCUGUCUUUGAAAACUCAGUACUCGGGAAAUUUGGCUUAGUUUGGUGAUGGGGCAGUGGGAGGAUGGAUGGGAACAAAUGCAUGAAGAAGCCCAUGGCUGCAUCAACCUCUUUUCUUUAGGAAACUAAAAAUUGGGCUAAAUGCUUUUUCUCUCUCUUUUUUUUUUUUUUUCCUUUUCUUCUGACCAUGUGGGCUAUCUCCAUUUAUAAGAGCACCCAAUUCCAUCUCUACCAGCAUUUUUAAGCUGCUAGUCUGAAAUUUUUCAGUGAGGACGGUCUGUCCAGGGCAUGCACUUUCAGGUGGCCACCACCUGAGUUUCAGGGAGGGGAUACAUGGCAACUUCACAAGCUAGGGCAGAAAGUCCUCGUGUCAGUAUCCUACAGCAAGGCCACCUGCGUGCCAGGUGGAUGGACAGGGACAGAGCCUCCAGUGACCAGCUGAGUAUUAAUAUGGGGCUUGGGCAAAACCAGACUGCUCCAUGGCUUCACAGGGUGCCCAGAAGCUGCUAUGUAGGCAAGCGUAAGGACAGGUAGCUGCCCCCAGAGGGUCAGGUGUUGCUUGCCUGCAUGCUCAGCAAGCUGUCUUUCAGAUAAAUGCCCGGAUUUGUGUGUGGCAGCAAGCAUUUAUUUCCCUAGUCGCUGAGUGCUAUUAUUUGUUGAUCAUUAUUCAUAUUUUUCCUUUCAAAGGGCCUCAGUCAGAGAUUACAAAAGCAGAAAUAAUGCUUUCCUGACAAAACAAAUUGAAUGAAUUAUAAACAGUUGAACAAAACUGCUUGCAAUCAGUUGAGGAUAAAAGCUGUUUUGACACCCCUGUGGUAGAAGGAGCUGAAUGCUGAACACAUUCUUAGAAAGCAAGACUGUCUCACAAAUGAGGUACAGACAGCAAAAUAUUUGCAAAUAAUUUCCUUUCAUUCUUCUCAAUAAUUCAUUUUAAAAGUCUCUAGGGCCCUGCUUCUACAGCUUCAGCAGCUGUAAGCCAAACUCUCUGAGUCCUUUUUAAGGAUUCAGAUGCAGGCAGCUUGGGAGCCUAUGAUUUAUAAUUCAGCAAAGGAACCAUACAGGUGCAUUUCAUGUGGUUUGGUAGCCUAGGGCUCAUGUAACUGCUUUACCACCAUAACUGCUUCUACACCAGCGGUAGUUUAACUGUAUCAGUGCAGCUAUAGUGGUACAAAACUUGCGUGGCUCUUGGCAGUGGCUAUCUCCCUUUUAGAUGUGAAUUAAAUGUUCUUUUGAGCAAGACCAUGAUGCUAGGACCACCUGAACCUACAGCUCUCAGACAGUGGUUGCCUAUAUUGAAGGCUCUGCAGCACUAUGUGAAGUUUGCCACUGGAGACAGGGAAACAGAUGAGCAUAAUACUUUCAGCAGCGAAAUAGGUAUUUGCAUCUUAUUUAUUUAUUUAUUUAUUUCCCAGUGAAAUAUCCAAAGGGCUAUUCUCACUUCUCUGUCUUAGGAGACAGAAGUUCAGAGAAGAACAAAGUGGUACUUGCUGACAGAAAAAACACCUUCUGUGGCCCGGGUUUGGCCGUCCUCUUGAGCAUGUAUGUUGAGGGGGUGAGCAGUUUACAUGCUUUUGUUCAAAAAGCUCAUGUUCAAAGCCUUUGCUGGAUUACAGAGACUGCACACAACGUGAUGUUAACAGAGUUUCCUUUGCUGUGAGUGCUCCUUGAAGAGCUGCUUGCUGCCAUAUUACAUCUACUAAAAUGCCAUCAGCCCUGUCAACAGGCAUACCUCACCAGUGGUGGGUAGGAAAUGCAUACAUUUACUGUACCAAUAGUUUAUUUUGUGGUGCUUUGUCUGUUUGCAAGUCUUCCUUGUCCUUUUCCUUUUGCAAGGCGGUUGCCCAGGAUGUUGGACUGUAUAACAAAGGCCACUUAAGCCAUCUCUCACUGCUGUAAGUAAUGGAAUUAGGAUUGGUGUAGGCUGGAAAAAAAAAAAAAGUAGGCUAGAAAAAGAUUGGUAACUUGCUCUAAAUGCAGUUGUUUUUCUUGUAAACUGAAAAAAAGGAGGAGGCAGCUGGGAUCUCUAGCACUGUCUAUCAGAUAUGACUCCUUUAUACAUCCUUUGAUGUAUGUUGAGCAGUGCUAAUCUAGUUGAGGAUCAGACACAGGGGUCUUUCUUCAGUGCAACAAUAAUCCCAUUAUUUUAUGCUGGUGAUGCCUGUGUUGUGGCCUAAUUUGACCUCCUGUCAGAUAUAUAGCUCUAUGAAUAUCUCAUUAUGGUUCUUUUCCCACACCCUGUUACCUUUUAACAGGGGAUAAUGGUAUAGGUUAAAUAUUCUGUACAUAUUCUAAUUGUAGGAGAUUGUACCAUUAAGCUUGUAUAGUGGUUGAUUUGUUUUUUUGGCUUUGUGUAAUUCAAAUCUAUUUUAUUUUCCUCAUAUGAAAGCUCAAAUGGAUAUUGGCUGGAGCAUAGCAAGAAAAAAUAUUUGGAUAUUACCUAGGAAAAUGAAUGACAUUGCAAAACUCCUUACAUUUGUAACUGGAAUGAAAUAGUUUUGGUUUUCACACUUCUCUUCACUUUCAUAAAAAAAAAACAAAAAACAACAACAAAAAAACCAGCAGCUGCUAUUCACAUUGCCGUGAGUUGCAUCAAGCAGAACUGGCAAACGUGCUCCUCAGCAUAAAAUCACAAAUGCCAAUCAUGUUUUUUCACAGGGAGGAAUGAAAUCAGCUGGUUUUGGGGAAAGCAGUUGGAAAAGACUCUUAGUUCUUUUUUCCUUUCUCUGAUUAUUAUCUAGGCCAGAAAGAAAAAGUACUGUUUGUCCCUAGAGAGCCAAUGGUUUUGGACGUUAGUGCUCAUCUUUAUUACUUCCCAGUAGAAGCAGAUGCAAUUUAGUAGCACAAAAUAUGAAGCUCCCUACUUGAAGAGAAUAGGAGAAACUUUUACUGUUGCUGGCACACAAAGGAAGAAAGAGACUUAGGUCUGUACGAGGAUGCCAUAAACCACCACUAUGACACUGAGUUGGAAGAGAAGAUAGUGAUUAAUCUGACUUACUGGGUGAGGGCUUUUCUGAGUAGAAACAGGGCAAUAUUGGUCCAUAUCUACACGCAUUCUUCAAUGAAAUAUUUUAUAUAGCUUUGAUGACCCAUGCUUCACAACAGUUAAUUAAUUAAACUGUAACAGGUGCUACUCGUGAGAAGAAUGGCGUGCCAUCCUGAGGAAAAACCAUGGAAAGGCACUGGUUUUGGAAAUGGAGAAAUGAAGGUUGGAAUAAGAUAUGAUGGCUCUUUAUAAAUGUAUUUUUAGGAACAGGGAGAGGACAUAAAUCAUAGAGGGAGAAGAGGUACUUAAGUUAAGUGACACUAUUGGCACAAACCCAAUUGGCUAGAAAUUUGUCAUGAGGGAAUUACUUAAAAAACUAGUAAGUCCAUUCAAAGAAUGAAGUUCUGGAUCAGUCUCUCAAGCAAUGUAAUGAGGACAAGGACUUAAUUCAUUUUUUUAAAAACAGAAUGUACUGUUAUUGAAGUGAUUGUGCUGCAGAGGAUUUUAGUAACAGACAAUAAGAUAUUUCUUCAGACAACAAUGAACUAGCAAGUCCAAAUGGAUCAGAAAGAAGGCUGAUUGGAAAGAUGACUUUGCAUUCUCCUAUAUUAAAUCCAUGCCCGGGUGCCUGUACAGGAAGGAUGCAGGAGCCAGGGAAAAAAACCCUUUCCCUGCUCCACCCUGCAGAUUGGCUACAGAUUGGUUGUGGCAGGAGGUACAUCUAAGUGAAAAUCUGAUACUGUUCAAACCUCUGCUGGAGGGAAGGAGCACCCUGUUUGUGUCACUAGGUUAACUAGUCCCUGGAUUUAGAGCUGAGAAAGAAGUUUCCUGCCAGCUGAGAGAGCAGUGCUUCCCUCCUUCCCUUGUCCCAUGGGGAUAGGGCAUGGUCGUCUUCCAAGGUCUGCAUGGGAGCUCAUGCUGAUAGCCUCCUUCUACCGUGAAUAAGGAGAAAGUGGCAUUUUCAGGCACAUUUUCAGUGAUGCAUCUGACCUAUUUCACACAUUGACUUCAGGAUGAGAUGAAGAGUGCCCCAGAAUUUCAUAUCCCUUUUUGUUGCCCAUACUAGGAGUCAAGAUGGGUAGCUAUAAUCCAGAAGAAUCUUUUUGUCCUGAGGACAGGGUAUGGCAAGGGGAAGGAUUUUUUUUUUUUUUUUUCUCAGAAUAUCUCGUUGCUUUGAUGAGUUUUCCUAGGGAAACAAGCAUUUGUUUAAAAUGGGAGGAAUUAAGUUCUUCAAAUCAUCAGUUUCCUUGGCUAUUUAAAACUGCCAUCAGCUCUCAACCCAUCAGUACUUUGAUUGGCAUCAGGGAGGGCUUUACCACCAACCUUUAUGGAAGAAGAACUGAGGUAACAUGAAAGCACUUUGGUGUCUGUGUGUCUGCAUGUGGUUAGCAUUGCAAAACAAGACAGCAACGCUUGCAGCUUUCCUGAGAUGUACUGAUUUACAUCAUGAUAUGCUGCCCAGUUACUAUGGGGACCUUUAACAGCACUUUCCUUUUUUGAUUAUGGUGGAUCUUACACAUGUGAAUGUUUGUUUGUGUGUGUACGUGACAUGCAUGUGUAAGCAUCUACUGUGGGAUGGGAAGAGGAAAUGCAUUUUGUUUGUCAUUUAAAGAGGAGCUGUUUUUUUUUUCUUUCUCAUAGGAAGCAAUCUCGCUUUGCAAGCAUAUUUCUUUUAAGUGCGCAUGCUGGAAAUGUUUGUACUUUGCUUCCAAAAACUAAGCUACUGAGAAUGUAAUAUCAAUUAUACAAUACCCAUAUGUCUGCAUUAUCAUUUGAACUGUUGUGGAAAUUAUAUAUAUAUAAAAAAUUAACUUCAGGUGCAGUAACUUUAUUUCAGAGGUGUCUGAGAGGUGCAAGAUUAUGUUCUGGCAUCACUGAGGUUGAAAGUAACUGGAGUGGAAACAAGAAGAUUACUUAUGUCUCAACUAUAGCAAUGAAAAUUAUGAAUUAAAGCAAUCUGGAAACCUC